Non-coding RNA from Sus scrofa (pig), 6290 nucleotides. The record is from RefSeq and is a predicted model, not a curated record. Lineage: Eukaryota; Metazoa; Chordata; Mammalia; Artiodactyla; Suidae.
GACACCACAGCUCAUGGCGACGCCAGAUCCUUAACCCACUGAGCAAGGCCAAGGAUGGAACCCGCAUCCUCAUGGAUACUAGUUGGGCUUGUUACCACCGACUUGAGCCACAUCAGGAACUUGAUGAGGAUUUUAACUCUAAGUAAAUAUUGUUCAGUAUGCAGUUAAGUGCGACUGUUAGGUCGACAUUUCUUAUACAAGUUUUUUUUUUUUUUUUUCUUGGAGUUAAAAUUUGCCCAUAUCAUUACUUAGUUAUCUUUGGUGCUCUAAGUUGUCCUACAUCUUCCAAAACCUCUCUGAAAUACCUCUAAUAUGGCAUUUUGAUAGGUGAAACAUAUUUCUAUAUUUUUAUUUUUCCUGGGGAAUCUCUUCUCUGGCUCUUCUUUGUCCUCCUGCUCCAACAUGGACUGGUUGGUUCCUUGGCCUGUUACAUAGCUCUCUGGGGGCUUCCCUGUGCCCUUACACCAAGAAUAACCUAUCCUUCUAAGUUGAACCCAAUUUCCUGAAUUCCAUGUUUUUCUUUUACCUGGUUUAUAUUCUCGUUUUAGUUAAACGUAUUCUCCAGCAAGUAUCCUGAGAGAAGACUUGGAAGGUGGGAUUUCCUGAAAUCUUGUAUUCUAAAAUUUCUUUAUUCUAACCUUCCACUUAACAAUUUGAAAUCAUGUUUUUGUUUCCAAGGUGUUCUUUUGUUGGCUACUAGCACUCAGCCUGCUACUAAAGUCCAAUGCCAUUUUGAUUCUUGAUUUUUAGUUGUGACCCGUUUUUCCUCUUUGGAAGCUUUUAGCUGCUGUUUUUCUUGCUGUUGUUUUAAACAUUUAUAAUGUUUCUUAGUAUGGGUUAUUUUUCCCUGUUGCAUGUUUUGGAAAUUUGUUUAUUCCCUUCAGUUCUGGGAAGUAUUCUUAUAUUAUUUCUUUGGUGAUUUCUUCCCCUUAGGUUUGCCUUACUACUUUUUGAAACUUUCCUACUAGUGAGAAUAUUAGACUAUUUCAUGUUCUUAUCCUUUCUGAUAGCAUCUUGUUCUUGUUUCACUGAUGUAGUAUUUUCCUUAUUACUCUUAGACUUUAAAUAUUUAUUUUUUGAAAUUUUAUUUCCUCUCUAUGCUACUUAUUCCUUUCAGUUUUCUACUUUUUUGUUUCUGCCUUUCGUAUCAGAGGAUUUUCUCAAGAGUUUGCAAAUUUUGGCUAUUUUUUCAGCACUGAUUAUUGAUUGUUGGACUUGACUAUGCCUUAAAGGAUAAGGUGGAUUUUGUUGUGUUCCACCCCAACCCCCAAAUAAGUCUACAAGUCUUUCUUCUGGGGAUAUUCAUUUUCUCCAAAGAAGGGUGCUUUAAUCCUCUGGUUAGUGGUCCUUAGGAAUCAAAGAUUGGGGGUGACAACCUUUAUGUACGUAGUGUCCCUAAAGAAGGAAUUCCUCCAAAUUUCUUCAGAAACUCUAUGUUCUCUCUUCCUUGGAGGCGAGUGGUGGCGGUGGCGGCAGUGGGCCUGGUGGAGGAGAGAGGGGUGGGAAAGAGGACCAUCAUCUGAUAACAGAGGCUAGAGCUGGGAAACUGGAAGGGUGAGCUUUACCUGCUGCUUACACCAAUUUUACAACAAUCCCCAUCGGUGCAACUUUCAGAAUAUCCGAAAUCCAACUUCUCCCACCUCCACUGCUACCAGCAUUCUAACCUGAUCAUUGUAAUCACUUCCUAGCGGGUCUUCUCUCUCUAGCCAUGAAUUGGCUGGAAUGCUAAAUUCUACUACUAACAAACUCUGAAACCUCUGAAUUUAACCACAAUUUAUUUCUUGCUCUCAUAGAGUCUAUUGUAGAUCAGUAAAGGCUCUCCUUCACUGAUGAUACAGGGAUCAGGCUCGCUAUAUUCUAUCACACGACCUUCUUAGCACAUGGUUUCUAAAGUUACAAGAGCAGGAAAAGAGCAGGGAGGAAGCCCAACAGAUAUUAAUGCCUCAGCAAUGAUUUCCAUUCAUGUUUUAUUGGCUGGAACUAAUUGCAUGGUGCCAACCACCAGGCAUGAGAAUGCUAUCUUCUGAGUGCUCAGGAGGAAGACAACCAGACAUGAGUGAGCACUGACAAUCUUAGGCCUCAAGCCCUCUCUCGCACCAUUUUUCUCAAUUGAAAAAUCAGAGGGAGCCUUACAAAAAUGUCAAACAUUUCACACCACUCCUGCUCUUCCAAAUAUCCACACAAUCCCUAACUUUAUCUUUCAAAUAUGAGCUUCACAAGGAGAAUCACUUACCAGUCUAUCUAAAUUGUCCCCCACUCCCCACAUUUUCCAUUCCCUGUUUUGUUUUCCAAAGCACACUUCAAAUUUUACUUUUGCUUGCAUCCUCUAAAAUGUGAGCUUCUUAAGGGUAGGGUUUUUACUUUUUUAUCCCAACACUUUGAAUCUCCCUUGGUUUUUGGCCCUGUGACUCAUCUCUGCCUUUGUGUACAAGGUGUCUACAAUUCCUUAGCUUGUCUGGGGUCUGUGUGGGUUUAGCAUCCUGCUUCUCAGGGAUGGGCUUCUUCCUCAGCGAAUAUUUAGAUUUGACCUUCUUUCAUUAAGGCAUUUGCUGUUCCUCUACUGCUCUCUCUUCACUACAGUUUGAAGUUUUCAGGGCUCUUAGUUACACUGUAGUUGGAAUUUUCAGUUUCUUGUUCAUUUUGGGGGUGAUUUUCAAGAGGAAGAGGUAGAUAGGACUUAACCAUCUUGAAACUAGAUAAAGUAUUAUUUUUGAAAUGAUAGAUUCAUAUAGUUAGUAUCUUUUCCAGAUCUUCAUUUUGUAACACCCUAGGAAAUAACUCCUUGACUCUUAAGGUUUUUGUUUGUUUUCCAGUGAUGGAACUAUAGUAUAGUGUGUAGAUGUACUUUGUUUGGUAGAAGAUUUUUUUUUGGGGGGGGGAGGAUUACUAGGAAGUUGAACUUGUAUUUGGUGAGUAGGUUAUUUGACAAAAUCUGAACAUUUGUUUGUUUGGCUCCCCCACAGCCCAGGCCAGGGAUUGAACCUGCAGUGACCCAGGCCACAGCAGUGCUAACACCAGAUCUUUAACUUACUCCAAAUCUGAGUGUUUUUUUUUUUUUUUUGUCUUUUUGCCAUUUCUUGGGCCGCUCCCGCGGCAUAUGGAGGUUCCCAGGCUAGGGAUCGAAUCGGAGCUGUAGCUGCCAGCCUACGCCAGAGCCACAGCAACGCGGGAUCCGAGCCGAGUCUGCAACCUACACCACAGCUCAUGGCAAUGCCGGAUCGUUAACCCACUGAGCAAGGGCAGGGACCGAACCUGCAACCUCAUGGUUCCUAGUCGGAUUUGUUAACCACUGCGCCACGACGGGAACUCCCAAAUCUGAGUGUUUUAAGGCAAUUUGUGACAGCUAAAUAUUACCCAUUUGAAUUCUUUGUGCCCUAGAUGGUCCCUCCAUUUUUAAAGCCCAUGUCUAAGUGGAAAUAUUUAUAUUCCAGAAGUUAUUUUCCGGUAAAAUUUCUUGGGUUACCAAUUCUGCCCAUAAAUUUGACAGGUAAGCAUUUGAAUUUAAGUGUCCCUAAUAGGCCUCAAAACUGUCAAGUGACAGAGAAUUCUGAAAACAUUUUAAAAACAUUUAAAAAUGUUAUAAAGGCUAAUACCCAUGGUACAAUUGAAGGCUGGUCUAAAAAUAUUUAUAGGUUUGGGGGAAAGGAGAAGACUCCAUGAGCAAAAAAGUUUGGGUUCUACUCCAUUAAGCAAAAUUUGAUAUUUGAUGUAUUUUUGACUGCAGGAAUUCUCACAGCAUUUACUGCCAAUAGGACUCUGAAUUUCACAGAGAAGUCUAUGAAUCACAUGGACAGAGUAGUAGUGGUUACUGUGGAUUUUUGGUUUGGAUUUAUGGCUGAGGUUUGUCAUUUAAUAACUAUGUGAUCUUAGACAAGUAACCAUCUUAUUUGUAAAAUAAUUCUAGUGCUGUGUACUUAGGUAAAUUAGAUCAUGUAUACAAAAUACUUAACACAGUGUCUUCUGUGUAGGAAAUAUUUACUAUGGGGUGGCUUCACACACACAUUCUGCUAUUAAAUAGUGUUUCUGAAAAUAGUAUUUAACCUCACAAGAUAUCCUUUAUAAAUGGUAAAGAAUAUAUCUGAAUACAAAAUUGUGGAGUUCCUGUUGUGGCUCAGCAGAAACGAGUCUAACUAGGAUCCAUGAAGAUAUGGGUUAGAUCCCUGAUCUCACACAGUGGGUUAAGGAUCUGGCAUUGCUGUGAGCUGUGGUGUAGUUUGCAGAUAUGGCUCGGAUCUGGCUUUGUCGUGGUGCAGGCCAGUGGCUACAGCUCUGAUUUGCACCCUAGCCUGGGAACCUCCAUAUACCUCGGGUGUGGCCCUAAAAAGACAAAAAAAAAAAAAAAAAUUGUACUGUGGAAUCAUAGUGUAUUCAACUGCUAUCAUUUGCUUGUAAUGUCCAAAACCAAACCGGAGAGGCACAGUAGCCCCUCUAUCCACAGGAAGUAUGUUCUAAGACUGUCUGUGGGCGUUGGAAGCUGCAGAUACUGCUACGUGUACUAUGUUUUUUCCUAUACAUACUUACCUGUGAUGAAGUUUGUUUUAUAAAUUAGGCACUGUAAGAGAUUAACAACAAUGUAAAACAUAACAUUGAUAACAAUAUACUGUAAUAAAAGUUAUGUGAUAAUGGUCUCUCAAAUAUCUUAUUUUCCUGUACCCAUCCUUGUGAUGAUGGCAGAUGAUAAAAUGCCUACGUGAUAAGACGAAGUGACGUGAAUGACAUAGGCAUUGUAUCAUUAUGUUACUAUUGGUUUCUGACCACAUGUCAGAAGGAGGAUUGUCUGCUUCAGGUGAUCUUGGAUCCGUGAUCCAUGAUGACAUUCGUGGUUGGACGUCAGAAGCAGACGAUGUCAUGGUUGAGGAUCCUGAGCAGGAUGGAGCAGAACAGGGUGAGGUGUCAUCAUAUUACUCAGGUGAUUACACCCUUUAAAACUUAUGACUUGUUUAUUUUUAAUUUUCCAUUUAAUAUUUUUGGACUCUGGUUGAGCAGGGGUAACUGAAACCACAAAAAGCCAACCCGUGGAUGGGGGGGGGGGCUUCUGUAUAUGAAUAAUUAACUUUUUCUUUUUUAAGAAAAAAUUUUUGAAGUUUAAUACAGUAAAUACAGUCAAUUUUAUACUUGGCAGUGUACAGUUGCUUAAUUUUAACACAUAUAUAUGGUCAUGUAAUUACUACCACAAUCAAUAUAUAGAACAGUUCCAUCACACCCCGAAAUUCCCCCAUAUCCUUUUAUCAUCAAUCUGUCCCCACUCCUCAGCCCCCCAGAUACCAUUGGUCUGUUUUCUCUCGCUGUAGUUCUUACCUUUUCCAGAAUGCCGUGUAAAUGAAUCAUAUAAUAUGCACCCUUAUAAUUAACUUUGAAGUAUAAUUCAACCAGUUGGCUAAUUCAACGAACUGUGCUAUGGGAUGAAGAUAAUAUGAUCCAGGUGUGUUUUUUUGCACUUAACGUAACAAUGAGCACGAGAACGUAAAACACGAAGAGAAAGGACUUACUUGUCUGUCUCACCUACUUGGUGUCUCAGAUAAACUUCGUUCACUGUACAUCUCAGUGGCUCCUGGAACCUACUGAUGGUCUCGUUAAUUAAAAAGCAGCAUAUGCUGUGGGGCAGCGCAGUCUCAAGCAUUAACAUGCAUAUGGGUCACCUGGGGAUCUAGUUAAAAUGCAGAUUUUGAUUUGGGAGGGCUGUGAUGGAGCUAACUAGCUCCAGGUGAAGGCAUUGGUGCUCACCCACGAAUCACAGUGUGAGCGACUAGGCUGUCGAAAACAGGAUGAUUCUUCUGCGCAUGUGUACUGCUGGGGAACCCGGAUAGGAGGUAUCAGAGCCGAAGUCAGUUUGAACUGAAAAUUUAGCAGGCUCGACUCAACUGGAACGAGAGCUAUCCUCUGAGGUCAGCCUCAUGAGAUGCACAGGUGGGCCAUACGGUAGGAUCAUCGUUACUGAGCCCUAUCCAGUGGAAUGAGAGCAGAAAUGAUGUGUACCACUUAGAGGUUUGGCCCACGAAACCACCUGUGACACUUUCGAGAAUCCUCUUCGAUGGUUUGGAUCAAUCAAUUUCGUCAACUUGCUGUGCCUCCCUCCCUGAAUUGUGAAUUGCUUGCAAGAAGUAAUAUUGUGUUGUACUCUGUGAAUAGCAAUUAUUGGAAUUUAACAAGUACUUAAUGAAUGGAUAGAUAGUCUCAGCACGUAGAAGGCAAUCAUUAACUAUUUGGGUCAACAGCAAGUACUGAAUGAAAUUACAAAGGAUUACUGAGGACAUCUAAGUAUCUUUAUGCUGACAGAUGGAUGCUAGAGC